GACGAACGCUGGCGGCGUGCUUAACACAUGCAAGUCGAACGGAAAGGCCCUGCUUUUGCGGGGUGCUCGAGUGGCGAACGGGUGAGUAACACGUGAGUAACCUGCCCUUGACUUUGGGAUAACUUCAGGAAACUGGGGCUAAUACCGGAUAGGAGCUCCUGCUGCAUGGUGGGGGUUGGAAAGUUUCGGCGGUUGGGGAUGGACUCGCGGCUUAUCAGCUUGUUGGUGGGGUAGUUGCUUACCAAGGCUUUGACGGGUAGCCGGCCUGAGAGGGUGACCGGCAACAUUGGGACUGAGCUACGGCCAAGACUCCUACGGGAGGCAGAAGUGGGGAAUAUUGCACAAUGGGCGGAAGCCUGAUGCAGCAACGCCGCGUGCGGGAUGACGGCCUUCGGGUUGUAAACCGCUUUCGCCUGUGACGAAGCGUGAGUGACGGUAAUGGGUAAAGAAGCACCGGCUAACUACGUG
Molecule: ribosomal RNA, 468 nt
Filed under: uncultured bacterium
Lineage: Bacteria
Description: partial 16S ribosomal RNA
Rfam family: Bacterial small subunit ribosomal RNA
Source: RNAcentral